Molecule: ribosomal RNA, 270 nt
Filed under: uncultured prokaryote
Description: partial 16S ribosomal RNA
Rfam family: Bacterial small subunit ribosomal RNA
Source: RNAcentral
UACGGAGGAUCCGAGCGUUAUCCGGAUUUAUUGGGUUUAAAGGGUGCGCAGGCGGGAGAUUAAGUCGGCGGUGAAAUUUUGCAGCUCAACUGUAAAAGUGCCUUCGAAACUGGUUUCCUUGAGUGUGGAUGAAGUAGGCGGAAUUUGUGGUGUAGCGGUGAAAUGCAUAGAUAUCACGAGGAACUCCGAUUGCGCAGGCAGCUUACUAAACCAUAACUGACGCUCAGGCACGAAGGCGUGGGAUCAAACAGGAUUAGAUACCCGCGUAGU